Molecule: long non-coding RNA, 714 nt
Organism: Corythoichthys intestinalis (scribbled pipefish)
Lineage: Eukaryota; Metazoa; Chordata; Actinopteri; Syngnathiformes; Syngnathidae
Exons: 3
Source: RefSeq, a predicted model, not a curated record
CGAACCUCUGCAGGAAAAACCUGUGUAAACAUGACACAGAAUCAUGAAGAGAGAGCACUUCAUAACCAAAGGUUUCCCCUGCAAUGGCAGCGUCAUCUCUGGUGGUUUGAGUCAGCAUUUCUGUCACUUGCAGUUCAGACACCCGAUCCGCGCAAAACAAGAUUCUGAGAAGCUGAAACAGAAGCCGAGGGGAGAGGACGGCUGGCCUACUUGAGCUCGUCCUCCUCGAUGAAGCCGCUCUUGUCCUGGUCGAUGACAGCGAAAGCCUUCUUGACGACGUCGGCAGACUUGCCGGCCAGGCCGACCUUGGCGAAGAACUCCUUGUGCUUGAAGGAGUCGGCAGCUGCACGUACGACACACAUUGGUGGCAUAUUACUUACAUGUUGACUGCUUGACAGGUGCUCCAUCAGAUCCAAUUAUUGCAUGUUGAGUGCAUUCCACACGCAGCUUAACUUGUUGGCAGCCAUUGACGGCGAUGGACGUCCAAGCCAUUUGAACUGGGGGGACCUGGCAGCGAUCAGCCCCUCCCACUUUAAAUGAAUUGGAGGUCUAUUGCCAUCAAUGGUAGUGAAUGAGUAAACGGGGAAUACCUUGUAACUGAGUGUUAUGAUAUACAGUACUCAUUGAAGAUAUAAUUAUUCACUUACAUCAGUAAUUGCCAACAUAAAUUUAUAUCACCUAAAUCAAAAGUGCAUUUUUAAACCAAAUAAUUUU